GGAGUGUCAUGAUAAGCGAGUAAUUCCUUGUCUUGUCUAGCUCUGUGUGUUCCCCGAGAUUAGUAUCUUGGGGA
Listeria floridensis FSL S10-1187 is the source of this 74-nucleotide non-coding RNA. Lineage: Bacteria; Bacillati; Bacillota; Bacilli; Caryophanales; Listeriaceae. The record is from Rfam.